CCCCCCGCCCGCCCCGGCACCCCUGCCCCGGGGCCGGACAGCGCUGGUGGCUCGCUCUCGGGCCACCCCCGGGCACGGGUGCGCGCGAGCACUGGGACGCGCGCGCGCGCGCGCACGCACCCUGGGCUGAACGCCCGGGCGUGCGAGCCGGGGCUCCGCGCACGCACCGAAUCUUGGACGCGAACGGGGCACCCGGCCUCUCCCUGCCUGGUGCACGAACCUACUGACACGCGUUGCACUUCAGAGUCGUGCAAACCCCUGCCCCAGCGCGGGCCAAUAGAAAAGGGUGUGAGUGAGCCUUCCUGCGUCUAGGGGGAGCAGGGGCGACGGAUAGGCUAAGGGAGCAAGACUUUCCGUGGCGCACCAGGACUGCGCACCCCCUGCGCAGAGUCGGCGCGGGGCGCUGCGCGCAGGGCCAUCCAGGCUUGCCCCAGGGCCCAGCCCGAAGCUACCACCCUCGCUGCCUGGGCAGCAUCUGUUCAUCCCUCCUUCCUCCUCCCAAAGGCUGGAAAUGGUGUGCACAUCCAUCCAAGAGACUCCAAAGAACAAAGCCUAAAGCCAGGUGUGGCAGUGCACGCCUGUGAGCCAAGCACUUGGGAGGCUGAGGCAGGAGGAUCACUGUGAGUUCGAGGCCACCCUGAACUACAUAGCAAGACCGUCUCUGAAAAAUCAAAAAAUAAAUAGUAGUAAUAAAAGAAAA
Molecule: long non-coding RNA, 700 nt
Filed under: Heterocephalus glaber (naked mole-rat)
Lineage: Eukaryota; Metazoa; Chordata; Mammalia; Rodentia; Bathyergidae
Description: lncRNA (ENSHGLG00000031214.2)
Source: RNAcentral